AACGCACGAGACCUGCGGACCUGCGGAGGGAUCAUCAAAGAAUUAUUUACACAGAAAAGAUUGGAGUGGAGGGGGGAUUAGAGUGGGGGAUUCGUCUCUUGCUCUCUCUCUCUUUUCCUCUAGUCUUUUCUGAACAAACAAACAUACAUGACUAGGAAAAAUAGAUUGAUUUGGUUGGCAAACAAGACAAGAAGUUCUUGGCUGAUAAGUAGCAUUGAUUUGGAUAAUCAAUACAACUUU
RNAcentral lists this unclassified non-coding RNA (240 nucleotides) under soil metagenome. RNAcentral describes it as "partial contains 5.8S ribosomal RNA, internal transcribed spacer 2, and large subunit ribosomal RNA". The record is from RNAcentral.